This 292-nucleotide small nuclear RNA is filed under the name Castor canadensis (American beaver). RNAcentral describes it as "7SK RNA (ENSCCNG00000023221.1)". It matches the Rfam family "7SK RNA". Rfam says of the family: 7SK was discovered as an abundant small nuclear RNA in the mid-70s but a possible function has only recently been suggested. Lineage: Eukaryota; Metazoa; Chordata; Mammalia; Rodentia; Castoridae. The record is from Rfam by way of RNAcentral.
GGAUGUGAGGGCGAUCUGGCUGCGACACCUGUCAGCCCAUUCAUCACCAGGGUUGAUUCGGCUGAUCUGGCUGGCUAGGCGGGUGUCCCCUUCCUCCCUCACCACUCCAUGUGCGUCCCUCCCGAAGCUGAGCGCUUGGUGCAAGAGGACAACCAUCCCUGAUAGAGGAGGGCUGUUCUUCAGUCAAGGGUAUACGAGUAGCUGCGCUCCCCUGCUAGAACCUCCAAAACAAGCUCUCAAAGUAAAGAGCGUAUAACAGGGAUAAUUCCUUCCCUAAUCAAAUAUUUGAUUU